AUUGAACGCUGGCGGCAUGCUUUACACAUGCAAGUCGAACGGCAGCGCGGUAUUCGCUCUGGCUUCGAGUGGCGAACGGGUGAGUAAUACAUCGGAACGUCCCCAGUUGCGGUGACUAGCUCGACGAAAGCGGGAAUAAUACCGCAUUCGACCUGAGGGCGAACGGGGGGGAUCUUCGGACCUUCCGCCCUUGCGCGGGCCGAUGGCGGAUUAGCUAGUUGGUGGGGUAAAGGCCUACCAAGGCGACGAUCUGUAGCUGGUCUGAGAGGAUGACCAGCCACACUGGAACUGAGACACGGUCCAGACUCCUACGGGAGGCAGCAGUGGGGAAUAUUGGACAAUGGGCGAAAGCCUGAUCCAGCCAUGCCGCGUGUGUGAAGAAGGCCUUCGGGUUGUAAAGCACUUUUGGUGGGAACGAAAAGCAGUGGGUUAAUACCACGGUGUUAUGACGGUACCCGCAGAAUAAGCACCGGCUAACUUCGUG
This 484-nucleotide ribosomal RNA is filed under the name uncultured bacterium. RNAcentral describes it as "partial 16S ribosomal RNA". It matches the Rfam family "Bacterial small subunit ribosomal RNA", at positions 30 to 507 of the family's 1533-position model. The record is from RNAcentral.